CACGUGGGCAACCUGCCUGUAAGACUGGGAUAACUCCGGGAAACCGGUGCUAAUACCAGAUAGUUUCUUUUCUCGCAUGAGAAAAGAAGGAAAGAUGGCGUCACGCUAUCACUUACAGAUGGACCCGCGGCGCAUUAGCUAGUUGGUGAGGUAAUGGCUCACCAAGGCAACGAUGCGUAGCCGACCUGAGAGGGUGAUCGGCCACACUGGGACUGAGACACGGCCCAGACUCCUACGGGAGGCAGCAGUAGGGAAUCUUCCGCAAUGGACGAAAGUCUGACGGAGCAACGCCGCGUGAGC
RNAcentral lists this ribosomal RNA (300 nucleotides) under uncultured Bacillus sp. Its description in RNAcentral is "bacterial SSU rRNA". It matches the Rfam family "Bacterial small subunit ribosomal RNA", at positions 114 to 406 of the family's 1533-position model. Lineage: Bacteria; Bacillati; Bacillota; Bacilli; Caryophanales; Bacillaceae. The record is from RNAcentral.